Molecule: ribosomal RNA, 379 nt
Filed under: uncultured eukaryote
Lineage: Eukaryota
Description: partial 18S ribosomal RNA
Rfam family: Eukaryotic small subunit ribosomal RNA
Source: RNAcentral
CAAUAGCGUAUAUUUAAGUUGUUGCAGUUAAAAAGCUCGUAGUUGGAUUUCGGGUAGGAUUUGCCGGUCCGUCUUUGAGAUGUGUACUGGUAAGUCCUAUCUUCUUGUCGGGGACCAGCUCCUGGGCUUCACUGUCCGGGACUGGGAGCCGACGAAGUUACUUUGAGUAAAUUAGAGUGUUCAAAGCAAGCCUACGCUCUGAAUAUAUUAGCAUGGAAUAACACGAUAGGACUCUGGCUUAUCUUGUUGGUCUGUGAGACCAGAGUAAUGAUUAAGAGGGACAGUCGGGGACAUUCGUAUUUCAUUGUCAGAGGUGAAAUUCUUGGAUUUAUGAAAGACUAACAUCUGCGAAAGCAUUUGCCAAGGAUGUUUUCAUUGA